Molecule: ribosomal RNA, 613 nt
Filed under: uncultured bacterium
Lineage: Bacteria
Description: bacterial SSU rRNA
Rfam family: Bacterial small subunit ribosomal RNA
Source: RNAcentral
CCUACGGGAGGCAGCAGUGGGGAAUUUUGGACAAUGGGCGCAAGCCUGAUCCAGCCAUGCCGCGUGCGGGAAGAAGGCCUUCGGGUUGUAAACCGCUUUUGUCAGGGAAGAAAUCCUUUGGGUUAAUACCUCGGAGGGAUGACGGUACCUGAAGAAUAAGCACCGGCUAACUACGUGCCAGCAGCCGCGGUAAUACGUAGGGUGCGAGCGUUAAUCGGAAUUACUGGGCGUAAAGCGUGCGCAGGCGGUUAUGCAAGACAGAUGUGAAAUCCCCGGGCUCAACCUGGGAACUGCAUUUGUGACUGCAUAGCUAGAGUACGGUAGAGGGGGAUGGAAUUCCGCGUGUAGCAGUGAAAUGCGUAGAUAUGCGGAGGAACACCGAUGGCGAAGGCAAUCCCCUGGAUCUGUACUGACGCUCAUGCACGAAAGCGUGGGGAGCAAACAGGAUUAGAUACCCUGGUAGUCCACGCCCUAAACGAUGUCAACUGGUUGUUGGACGGCUUGCUGUUCNGUAACGAGCUAACGCGUGAAGUUGACCGCCUGGGGAGUACGGCCGCAAGGUUGAAACCGUGAAGAUUGACGNGNGAGAGNGCGAGCGACGACGAGGGAGGAG